UACGUAGGGUGCAAGCGUUAUCCGGAUUUAUUGGGUUUAAAGGGUGCGUAGGCGGGAUGCCAAGUCAGCGGUAAAAAUGCGGUGCUCAACGCCGUCGAGCCGUUGAAACUGGCGUUCUUGAGUGGGCGAGAAGUAUGCGGAAUGCGUGGUGUAGCGGUGAAAUGCAUAGAUAUCACGCAGAACUCCGAUUGCGAAGGCAGCAUACCGGCGCCCUACUGACGCUGAGGCACGAAAGCGUGGGUAUCGAACAGG
RNAcentral lists this ribosomal RNA (252 nucleotides) under uncultured bacterium. Its description in RNAcentral is "partial 16S ribosomal RNA". It matches the Rfam family "Bacterial small subunit ribosomal RNA", at positions 524 to 776 of the family's 1533-position model. The record is from RNAcentral.